UACAGAGGUCUCAAGCGUUGUUCGGAUUCAUUGGGCGUAAAGGGUGUGUAGGUGGCGCGCUAAGUCGGGUGUGAAAUUUCGGAGCUUAACUCCGAAACUGCAUUUGAUACUGGCGUGCUUGAGGACUGGAGAGGAGACUGGAAUUCAUGGUGUAGCAGUGAAAUGCGUAGAGAUCAUGAGGAAGACCAGUGGCGAAGGCGGGUCUCUGGACAGUUCCUGACACUGAGAGACGAAAGCUAGGGGAGCGAAUGGG
RNAcentral lists this ribosomal RNA (253 nucleotides) under uncultured bacterium. RNAcentral's name for it is "partial 16S ribosomal RNA". It matches the Rfam family "Bacterial small subunit ribosomal RNA", at positions 524 to 776 of the family's 1533-position model. The record is from RNAcentral.